RNAcentral lists this ribosomal RNA (393 nucleotides) under uncultured bacterium. Its description in RNAcentral is "bacterial SSU rRNA". It matches the Rfam family "Bacterial small subunit ribosomal RNA", at positions 360 to 771 of the family's 1533-position model. The record is from RNAcentral.
AAUUUUGCUCAAUGGGCGCAAGCCUGAAGCAGCGACGCCGCGUGAAUGAUGAAGUCUUUCGGGAUGUAAAGUUCUGUCAGCAGGGACAAUAAUGAUGGUACCUGCAGAGGAAGCACCGGCAAACUAUGUGCCAGCAGCCGCGGUAAUACAUAGGGUGCAAGCGUUAUCCGGAUUUACUGGGCGUAAAGCGUAUGUAGGCGGUAUUUUAAGUCAAACUUCAAAUCCCGGGGCUCAACCUCGGUUCGGGUUUGAUACUGGAGUACUAGAGUUUGGGAGAGGAAAGCGGAACUAACAGUGUAGCGGUGAAAUGCGUAGAUAUUGUUAGGAACACCCGUGGCGAAGGCGGCUUUCUGGACCAACACUGACGCUGAGAUACGAAAGCGUGGGGAGCAA